Molecule: microRNA precursor, 56 nt
Filed under: Octopus bimaculoides (California two-spot octopus)
Lineage: Eukaryota; Metazoa; Mollusca; Cephalopoda; Octopoda; Octopodidae
Description: Obi-Mir-12580_pre stem-loop
Source: RNAcentral
AACCGCUUGUUGUUGCCUUCUUGUAAUAUUCUACGAAGGUGGCAUCAAAGGGUCAG